GUCUGUAUGUUGUUUUUGACUGUCAUAUUUGCUCUCUUGUAGGAGUUUUUUUUUUGGUGACGUAACCCUAGUUGAUUUUGUAUCUUUGGUGUGCUGUAUAACACAAAGAGUUCCUUUCUUUAUUUUGGAUCAGGUAAGUUCCCUGGGCCUGUGUUGGUGCCUGUUUUGUUUAUUGGUCUGUAUGUUGUUUUUGACUGUCAUAUUUGCUCUCUUGUAGGAGUUUUUUUUUGGGUGACGUAACCCUAGUUGAUUUUGUAUCUUUGGUGUGCUGUAUAACACAAAGAGUUCCUUUCUUUAUUUUGGAUCAGGUAAGUUCCCUGGGCCUGUGUUGGUGCCUGUUUUGUUUAUUGGUCUGUAUGUUGUUUUUGACUGUCAUAUUUGCUCUCUUGUAGGAGUUUUUUUUUGGGUGACGUAACCCUAGUUGAUUUUGUAUCUUUGGUGUGCUGUAUAACACAAAGAGUUCCUUUCUUUAUUUUGGAUCAGGUAAGUUCCCUGGGCCUGUGUUGGUGCCUGUUUUGUUUAUUGGUCUGUAUGUUGUUUUUGACUGUCAUAUUUGCUCUCUUGUAGGAGUUUUUUUUUGGGUGACGUAACCCUAGUUGAUUUUGUAUCUUUGGUGUGCUGUAUAACACAAAGAGUUCCUUUCUUUAUUUUGGAUCAGGUAAGUUCCCUGGGCCUGUGUUGGUGCCUGUUUUGUUUAUUGGUCUGUAUGUUGUUUUUGACUGUCAUAUUUGCUCUCUUGUAGGAGUUUUUUUUUGGGUGACGUAACCCUAGUUGAUUUUGUAUCUUUGGUGUGCUGUAUAACACAAAGAGUUCCUUUCUUUAUUUUGGAUCAGAAAAAAAUGUCUUACGCUCCUGCAAUCCUUUCCCUGAACGCUAAGUUUACUGGAAGUUCCCAUGAUGCGUAUGUCAUUAGACAAUCAGGGAUAUGGCACAGAUUAAGAUCAAGUCAACGAGCAGACAUGUGGUUAUUGGGAGACCGUGGAUAUCCUUGCACCCCCUGGCUCAUGACUCCUUACCGUAAUCCCAGGCCAGGACCACAGACGGCAUUUAACUCCACGCUUACUGCCACUAGGCAGCUGGUGGAGCGCACAAUUGGGGUCCUUAAAGGGCGGUUUCGUGUGCUCCACCGCACUGGUGGCGACAUCAUGUAUUCGCCGGAGAUGGCAAGUAAAAUAGUGGUCCUGUGCGCUAUACUCCACAAUAUCGCGGUAAGGAAUAGCGUAGAGCUUCCUCAGACAGAGGAAUUGCCUGAUGAGGAGCCAGGGGUUGUCCGACACUUCGGUGGGGGGAGUGUUACAAGGAGGGGGAGCCAAGUCAGGGCAAGCAUUGUUGCUGAAUUUUUCAGGUAUAGUGUUUUUUUUUACUCUAUUGUUACCAAAAUAAAAGCACAGUAUGCAUCAUUUUGUAUUUAAAUGUAGAAAUUGUGUUUGCUAUUGUAAGGUCAUUGUGUAAUGCUUUUUGUGUGUUUGAAUCUGUUUUUUUUUUUAUCUUCAAAAAACAAUAACACGUUAAGCUGACAAUUUAAUUUUGUGUCAAACAAUACUGUGAUGUUGCUAAAUAGUGUCCUUAUUUUUUUACUAUUCUAACAUCAUGAUUAUUUAAACAAAAACACAAACAAAUGAAACUGAAUGUUGCCCACUUUGUGAAUGUCCAGCUGAAAGACCACACAAACUGAGGACGACCACAACGGCAAGCACCACAUGAUGCACCAGCUCAGCACCCUUCCCCUUCUCACUCCCCCUCCACUUCCCAGUCCCCCUCCCCUUCUCACUCCCCCUCCCCUUCUCACUCCCCCUCCCCUUCUCACUCCCCCUCCCCUUCUCACUCCCCCUCAGCUUCCCAAUCCCCCUCAGCUUCCCAAUCACCCUCAGCUUCACAAUCCACCUCAGCUUCCCAGUCACCCUCAGCUUCCCAGGCCCCCUCAGCUUCCCAGGCCCACUCCACUUUCCACUCCCCUUCUCAGCCAACCUCUCCUUCUCUUUCUGUGACCCCUUCUCCUCCUUCCCAUACCCCUUCUCCUUCUACUUCCAACUCACCUUCUCAGCCCCCCUCACCCUCUAUUGGCCUAACAUUUUCACCGCCCCCCUCGCCCUCUCAAUCAGACCCACCCUCUGAAAUUACAUCCCCAAUCCAACCUCCUUCCCCCAUCCAGCCUCCUUCCCCCAUCCAGCCUCCUUCCCCAAUCCCUCCUCCUUCCCCCAUCCAGCCGCCUUCCCCCAUCCAGCCGCCAUCCCCACCCAGUGAAUGGGCAGAGGAAGCCCCUGAAGACAGUUCAGGGAGUCUUCAUGUUGCCGAGGAAAAUGUUGCAGUUGGAGAUCCCACAAGUUUUGGAGGCAUUCUUUACACCAUGCGCCAACACCUGCAAGGAUUAAUGCAUUGUGUUGACAAUUUGCAAAAAUAUGCAUGAUAUUGUUUAU
Molecule: long non-coding RNA, 2417 nt
Organism: Pseudophryne corroboree (corroboree frog)
Lineage: Eukaryota; Metazoa; Chordata; Amphibia; Anura; Myobatrachidae
Exons: 6
Source: RefSeq, a predicted model, not a curated record